This 446-nucleotide ribosomal RNA is filed under the name uncultured bacterium. RNAcentral describes it as "partial 16S ribosomal RNA". It matches the Rfam family "Bacterial small subunit ribosomal RNA", at positions 338 to 795 of the family's 1533-position model. The record is from RNAcentral.
CCUACGUGAGGCAGCAGUCGAGAAUCAUUCACAAUGGGGGAAACCCUGAUGGUGCGACGCCGCGUGGGGGAAUGAAGGUCUUCGGAUUGUAAACCCCUGUCAUGAGGGAGCAAAUUAAAAAGAUAGUACCACAAGAGGAAGAGACGGCUAACUCUGUGCCAGCAGCCGCGGUAAUACAGAGGUCUCAAGCGUUGUUCGGAAUCACUGGGCGUAAAGCGUGGGUAGGCUGUUUCGUAAGUCGUGUGUGAAAGGCGCGGGCUCAACCCGCGGACGGCACAUGAUACUGCGAGACUAGAGUACUGGAGAGGGAGCCGGAAUACUGGGUGUAGCAGUGAAAUGCGUAGAUAUCGAGGGGAACACUCGUGGCGAAGGCGGGUUACUGGACAUUAACUGACGCUGAGGCACGAGGGCCAGGGGAGCGAAAGGGAUUAGAUACCCCGGUAGUC